GACGAACGCUGGCGGCGUGCUUAACACAUGCAAGUCGAACGGAAAGGCCUAGCUUGCUGGGUACUCGAGUGGCGAACGGGUGAGUAACACGUGGGUGAUCUGCCCCUGACUUUGGGAUAAGCCUGGGAAACUGGGUCUAAUACCGGAUAUUCAUUUUUCCUCGCAUGGGGAUUUGUGGAAAUCUUUUGCGGUUGGGGAUGGGCCCGCGGCCUAUCAGCUUGUUGGUGGGGUAAUGGCCUACCAAGGCGACGACGGGUAGCCGACCUGAGAGGGUGAUCGGCCACACUGGGACUGAGACACGGCCCAGACUCCUACGGGAGGCAGCAGUGGGGAAUAUUGCACAAUGGGCGCAAGCCUGAUGCAGCGACGCCGCGUGAGGGAUGACGGCCUUCGGGUUGUAAACCUCUUUCAGCUCCGACGAAGCGAAAGUGACGGUAGGAGCAGAAGAAGCACCGGCCAACUACGUG
Molecule: ribosomal RNA, 467 nt
Filed under: uncultured bacterium
Lineage: Bacteria
Description: partial 16S ribosomal RNA
Rfam family: Bacterial small subunit ribosomal RNA
Source: RNAcentral